Molecule: non-coding RNA, 167 nt
Organism: Pelobates cultripes (western spadefoot toad)
Lineage: Eukaryota; Metazoa; Chordata; Amphibia; Anura; Pelobatidae
Source: the annotation of a GenBank genome assembly
GCAGACACAUUCCAGCCAAUCAGCAGCAGACCCUCCCUCUCAGAUCCUCCCACCUCCUGGACAGCAUCCAUUUUACAUUCAUUGUGAAGCUGCAUUCUUAGUGAGCUGUCCAGGAGGUGGGAGGGUCUGGGAGGGAGGGUCUGCUGCUGAUUGGCUAGAAUGUGUCU